RNAcentral lists this ribosomal RNA (3089 nucleotides) under Macalpinomyces bursus. RNAcentral describes it as "large subunit ribosomal RNA". It matches the Rfam family "Bacterial large subunit ribosomal RNA". The record is from RNAcentral. Lineage: Eukaryota; Fungi; Basidiomycota; Ustilaginomycetes; Ustilaginales; Ustilaginaceae.
AAAAUGAUUUAUAUAGGUAUCGAUGACAAUGUUGAAUGUACGGUUAAGUAAUUAAAGGGAUUAUUAGGGAUGCCUAGCAGAUAUGUUGAAAAGGAAGUAUAAUACUAAAAGUAUAGAUACAAUCAGAAUAUUUAUACAAUCCUAAGGUAAACCGAAUAGUAUAGAACGUUGGGAAGUAAAACAUUACAGUACCAAUAGGAAAGGAAAUCAAAAGAGACUCUGGAAGUAAUGGUGAGUGAAACCAGAAUAGCCUAAAAUUUUAGUGACACACAUAGUACUUUGGAAUAAGUAGACUCGUACGUAUAAAAUAAUAAUUAUAGGUAUCGACCCAUAGAAGGUGAAAGUCCUGUAUGUGAUGAAACUAGAAAAGUAAUUAAGUAAUAUGAGGACGUCAGCCUUGUAUGAAUAAGGGGGUACCAUCCUCCAAGGCUAAGUAUAACAUAUCUAGCGAUAGUGAAGAGUAACGUGAGUGAAAGGUGAAAAGUAAGUAGAUGACUAGUGAAAUAGAACCUGAACUAGUAAUCCUAUAAGCAGUUGGAGUUUUUAGUAAAAAUGACAACGUACCUUUUGCAUAAUGGGUCAGCGAGUUAGUUUAUAGAGCAAGAUGAAUAAUCUAAGCGAAAGCGACUGUAAUAAGUGGAUCAAAAAUAGUUUUAUGAACUAGACCCGAAGCCAAAUGAUCUUACCAUGACCAGGCUAAAAAAGGGCCGAACAGGUGAAUGUUGCAAAAUUCUCUGAUGAGUUGUGGUAAGGGGUGAAAGGCCAAUCUAAUUUGGAUGAUAGCUGGUAUUCUGCGAAACCUAUUUAGGUAGGGCCUUUAUUUACACUUUUAUAUGUACAGCACUGAUCAUCAUACAUUAGCUAGAUAUUUAUAUCACUAUGUUAAAUUGGGGGGUUUCACAACUCUACCAUUGAUGGUUAACCUCGGAAGGAUAAUAGUGAAUGAUAAAGGCACAGUCUAUUCAUGAUAAGGUGGAUAGACAAAAGGGAAACAGCCCAGAGCACGUGUUAAGGUCCCAAAAUAUUGUUAAGUGAAUAUAAGAAAGUUUAACUCCUAAUACAACCAUGAAGUAGGCUUGGAGGUAGCCAUCUUUUAAUGAUAGUGUAACAACUCAGUGGUCUAAUUUGAGGAGAGAAGCGUCGAAAAUUAACGGGUCUUAGACAAUAUACCUACACCGUGACUAUUUAUAAUAAUAUCUCUUUUAUUAUAAAUAAGGGUAGCAGAACACUCAGUAUCUGAUUGAAGGAAAAUGUUUCAUUUUCUGGACAGUACUGAAGAGAAAAUGCUGACAUGAGUAACGUAGAAAGGAGUUAAAACACUCCUCGCCGAAUACGAGAGGGUUUCAUGGAGAAGUUAAUCUGCCAUGAGUUAUGCGGACUCUAAGGAAAAUAGGCGAAUGUCUAUAUCUGAUGAGAACUACUUGAAUUACACUGAAUUAUCUAUAUAUAAUAAUUAUUUUAUUCAUUUGUAUGUAAAUUUGCAGAGUUAGAAUAAUUAGAUCAAGAAAAAUAAGUGUCACUAUAUAAAUAGUGAAUCCGUACCCUAAACCGACACAGGUUCGUAGGUAGAGAAUACUAAGGCGUAGAGAUAAUGCUUGUGAAGGAACUCGGCAAAUUGUGCCCGUAAGUUAGACGAUAAGGGUAACCAGAAUAAAUAAUUAUAUUAAAAAUUCUGAGUGUCACAAAAUCGAGGGCUGCGACUGUUUACCAAAAACACAGCAACUUGCUAAGACGAAUAGUACUUGUAUAAGUUGUGAACUCUGCCCAAUGCCAUGUCGUGUAAAGAAGGUGAUCUAUUUAUUAAUUUCUAAUAAUAGAGUCACUAACUGAUGCCAUGGUGAAUGGCGGUCUUAACUAUAAGGAUCUGAAAGUAGCGAAAUUCCUUGGCCAUUAAAUGUGGUCCUGCAUGAAUGAGGUAACGUGGCCCUGCUGUCUCCACAAGCAUCUCAGUGAAAUUGAAUUAGCCGUGCAGAUGCGGUUUACCUUCAGUUAGACGGGAAGACCCUAUGCAGCUUUACUGUAACUUGAUAUUGUUUCUUCUAUAGCUAGGUGUAGUAUACAAGGGAGUAAAUAUUUUUUACAUCAGUGAAAUACCUUGACUAGUCUAAAGAAGAAACUUACCUGUAAUUUUCUAGUAGUACUACAUCUUAUAAAAAAGGAUCUUCAAUUUACAUUUAUAAGAUAGUCUUCUAUAAAUAAAAUUUUUAAUUUGAAUAGAGAUAUAGAAUAUUUUUAUUUUCAUAGAGUUAUUCUAUGGCUAUAUUAUAAGAACUUUGAGUAGUUUAAUAGCUAUUCUAUAAAGUCUUCUAUGAUAUUUAUAGGAACAAUUUUUUUUUUAAUUUACUAAAUUAAAAAUCAUAGGAAAAUUGUUCUAUAAGAUGUCAGGAAAUGAUUAAAUGGGAAAAUAUCAGGUGGUCAGUUUGACUGGGACGGUAGCCUCUAAUAAAGUAUCAGAGGCCUUCAAAGGUAUGCAUAUAUUGGUCAGAAACCAAUGAACUAUGUAAAGUUUAUUAAAGCGUAAUAGUGUAAGCAUGCUUGACUGAAAGACUGAUAGGUCAAUCAGAUACGCAAGUAGGAUAUAGUGAUCCGGUGAUUCAUAAUGGAAUGGUCAUCGCUCAAGAAAUAAAAGUUACGCUAGGGAUAACAGGUUUAUCGUUUGCGAGAGUUCAUAUUGUCCAAACGGUUUGACACCUCGAUGUCGACUCAUCUCAUCCUCCAGGUGCAGUAGCUUGGAAGGGUUCAGCUGUUCGCUGAUUAAAGAGGUACGCGAGUUGGGUUCAAUACGACGUGAGUCAGUAUGGUCCCUAUCUUCUGAAGGAAAAAGUAAUCGAUUAAGGACCUCCGGUUAGUACGAAAGGACCGCUGGGGAUGAUUCCAUGGUGUACCUAUUGUUACGUCUUUAGAUAUAGCACCGUAGGGUAGCCACAAUCAUGACAGAUAAGCGCUGAAAGCAUCUUAAGCACGAAGCACACCUUAUUAGAUUACAAGAAAUAGGAAGAAGACUACUUCUUUGUAUUUUACUUAUUAUUUUUAUAGUUUAUAAACUAUCUAUAUAAUUCUAUGUAAAUACAUAUAGGGUGCAAAUGUAA